Molecule: ribosomal RNA, 253 nt
Filed under: uncultured bacterium
Lineage: Bacteria
Description: partial 16S ribosomal RNA
Rfam family: Bacterial small subunit ribosomal RNA
Source: RNAcentral
GACGAACCGUGCAAACGUUGUUCGGAAUCACUGGGCUUAAAGGGCGCGUAGGCGGGCCAGCAAGUCAGGGGUGAAAGCCCACGGCUCAACCGUGGAAGUGCCUUUGAUACUGUUGGUCUUGAGGGAGGUAGGGGCGUGCGGAACUUCCGGUGGAGCGGUGAAAUGCGUAGGUAUCGGAAGGAACACCGGUGGCGAAGGCGGCAUCCUGGACCGACACUGACGCUGAGGAGCGAAAGCCAGGGGAGCAAACGGG